RNAcentral lists this ribosomal RNA (253 nucleotides) under uncultured bacterium. Its description in RNAcentral is "partial 16S ribosomal RNA". It matches the Rfam family "Bacterial small subunit ribosomal RNA", at positions 524 to 776 of the family's 1533-position model. The record is from RNAcentral.
UACAGAGGUCUCAAGCGUUGUUCGGAUUCAUUGGGCGUAAAGGGUGCGUAGGCGGGCUAUUAAGUCAGUGGUGAAAGCCCCAAGCUUAACUUGGGAACUGCCAUUGAUACUGAUGGUCUUGAGUACAUUUGAGGUGGGCGGAAUGUGUCAUGUAGCGGUGAAAUGCUUAGAUAUGACACAGAACACCGAUUGCGAAGGCAGCUCACUAAACUGUAACUGACGCUGAGGCACGAAAGCGUGGGGAGCAAACAGG